UUUUUGCACGGUAUAGGUUCAUAUGCUUGUCUUAAAGAUUAAGCCAUGACAUGUCCUAGUAUAAACGAUAAUACAGUAAAACUGCAAAUGGCUCAUUAAAACAGUUACAGUUUAUUUGAUAAUAAAGUUUUACAUGGAUAACCGUGGUAAUUCUAGAGCUAAUACAUGAGCAAAUUCUCGACUUUAUUAGAAGAGAAGCAUUUAUUAGAUAAAAAAUCAGUGCAUGUUUUUAAAACAUGGAAUUUGGUGAUUUACAGUAACUAAGCAAAUCGCAUAGUGAAAACUGGCGAUAAAUCAUUCAAGUUUCUGACCUAUCAGCUUUCGACGGUAUGGUAUUGGCUUACCGUGGCAGUGACGGUUAACGGGGGAUUAGGGUUCGAUUCCGGAGAGGGAGCCUGAGAAACGGCUACCACAUCUAAGGAAGGCAGCAGGCGCGCAAAUUACCCAAUUCUAACAGCAUAAGAGAGGUAGUGACAAGAAAUAACAGUACAAGGCAGUUAAAAUGCUUUGUAAUUGGAAUGAUAGAAAUUUAAACACUUUUUAAAGUAUCAAUUGGAGGGCAAGUCUGGUGCCAGCAGCCGCGGUAAUUCCAGCUCCAAUAGCGUAUAUUAAAAUUGUUGCAGUUAAAAAGCUCGUAGUUGAAUUUCUGCUAGAAAUAACCGGACUGCUUUUAUUAAUAAAGGUGGUAUCUUGGUGUGUUUUUAGCAAUAAUGUCCUUUGAAAUGUUUUUUACUUUAUUGUAAGAAACAAUAUUCAGGAUUUUUACUUUGAGAAAAAUUAGAGUGUUUCAAGCAGGCUAACGUUUUUGAAUACUGCAGCAUGGAAUAAUAAAAAUAGGAUUUUUGGUUCUACAUUAUUGGUUUUUAAGAACUAAAUUAAUGAUUGAUAGGGGACAGUUGGGGGGCAUUUGUAUUUUAACUGUCAGAGGUGAAAUCUCUUUUUUAAAAAUUUGUG
This 954-nucleotide ribosomal RNA is filed under the name Hepatozoon sp. RNAcentral's name for it is "partial small subunit ribosomal RNA". It matches the Rfam family "Eukaryotic small subunit ribosomal RNA", at positions 1 to 939 of the family's 1831-position model. The record is from RNAcentral. Lineage: Eukaryota; Apicomplexa; Hepatozoidae.